RNAcentral lists this ribosomal RNA (37 nucleotides) under Sporothrix sp. HMY-2013. Its description in RNAcentral is "partial 28S ribosomal RNA". Lineage: Eukaryota; Fungi; Ascomycota; Sordariomycetes; Ophiostomatales; Ophiostomataceae. The record is from RNAcentral.
CCCGCUGAACUUAAGCAUAUCAAAAGCCGGGAGGAAA